Molecule: unclassified non-coding RNA, 433 nt
Filed under: Drosophila mojavensis
Lineage: Eukaryota; Metazoa; Arthropoda; Insecta; Diptera; Drosophilidae
Description: GI22987
Source: RNAcentral
AAGAAAAAACAUGCCGCUAGCAAAAGAUUUACUGCACCCUCUGCCCGCUGAGGAGAAACGCAAGCACAAGCUAAAGCGCUUGGUGCAGCACCCCAACUCCUACUUCAUGGAUGUCAAGUGCCCCGGAUGCUACAGAAUUACAACUGUGUUCAGUCACGCCCAGGGCGUUGUGGUCUGUGCUGGUUGCGCCACCAUUCUGUGCCAGCCAACUGGAGGACGUGCCAAGCUGACAGAAGGCUGCUCGUUCCGUAGGAAGCCACAAUAAAAAUGGGGACGCUUCUUGAUGAACCACAAAUUAUUAAUUUUUUAAUAAACACUCUAAAAACGCGUCGCUUAUUACGCUUUGCAAAUGGAGUGGAUACAAGUGAAACAAGCAACUUCGGCGGCGGCAGCAGCAAUAACAAUUUUGAUAAGUAGUUUUCUCAACUGUAUG